This 492-nucleotide ribosomal RNA is filed under the name uncultured bacterium. Its description in RNAcentral is "bacterial SSU rRNA". It matches the Rfam family "Bacterial small subunit ribosomal RNA", at positions 1 to 531 of the family's 1533-position model. The record is from RNAcentral.
GCUAUUUAGGUUAGAGUUUGAUCAUGGCUCAGAAUCAACGCUGGCGGCGUGCCUAACACAUGCAAGUCGAACGGGCGUAGCAAUACGUCAGUGGCAGACGGGUGAGUAACACGUGGGAACGUACCUUUUGGUUCGGAACAACACAGGGAAACUUGUGCUAAUACCGGAUAAGCCCUUACGGGGAAAGAUUUAUCGCCGAAAGAUCGGCCCGCGUCUGAUUAGCUAGUUGGUAGGGUAACGGCCUACCAAGGCGACGAUCAGUAGCUGGUCUGAGAGGAUGAUCAGCCACAUUGGGACUGAGACACGGCCCAAACUCCUACGGGAGGCAGCAGUGGGGAAUAUUGGACAAUGGGGGCAACCCUGAUCCAGCCAUGCCGCGUGAGUGAUGAAGGCCCUAGGGUUGUAAAGCUCUUUUGUGCGGGAAGAUAAUGACGGUACCGCAAGAAUAAGCCCCGGCUAACUUCGUGCCAGCAGCCGCGGUAAUGUCGGCCC